This is a long non-coding RNA of Gossypium raimondii (Peruvian cotton), 1489 nucleotides long. RefSeq lists it as uncharacterized. NCBI's taxonomy places the organism in Eukaryota, Viridiplantae, Streptophyta, Magnoliopsida, Malvales, Malvaceae. The record is from RefSeq and is a predicted model, not a curated record. The transcript has 2 exons.
CAUCUUCACCGAAAUGUCAACCUAAAAUCAGCCAUGGGAGAGCUUGUUAUUGGGCCAAACUUUGAAGACAAACUGAUUGAGAAAAGCGAAAUACGGAUCUAGAUUGGAGAAAAGAUAAAGUAUCGGACUAGUCGAUCCAUUCUGUCGUUUUAGCAAUCGAGGUAAGUUCGUAUAAUCGAACUUCAGUGUAUAUUUAUGUAAUUGAUGAAUGAUAGUAUGAAUGUAUUCAUAUAAUCGAUUUAAUUGUGGAGCUUAAAUUAAAUGUUCGAAAUAAGUAAAAAUGCAGGAUCGAACACAAUCGUUUCGUAACGAAAGACGAAUUGGUGGAAAAAACUGUGGUUGGACCAUGGCAUUACAUGAUUUCGUAUAAGACCAUAGCUGGGCUAUGGCAUCGAUAUAUGAGACUUUGUGUAAGACUAUAUAUGGGAUAUGGCAUCGAUAUAUGUGAUUACGUGUAAGACCAUGUCUAGGACAUUGGCAUCUUUAUGUGAUUUCGUGUAAGACUAUGUCUGGGACAUUGGCAUCGAUAUAUGAUUCGUGUAAGACCAUAGCUGGGCUAUUGGCAUCGAUAUGUGAUAACAUGUAAGACCAUAUCUGGAUAUAGCAUUGUAUGUGAUAUACGAGACUUUCGAGUAUCUUUAACAAUUCUGAAUGGUUCAUCACGCAAAGUUAAGACAAGAAUGAAAGUUCAAUUGAAUUAAGCAACACAGGUACGUUCAGAACCUAUGUGAGAGUUAAAUGAAGGUAAUUUAAUGAGAAUUAUUAGUGUAUAAUUAUAUUUAUGCCAAAAUGUGUUUAUUUGGCUAUAAUGAGGUAUGAAUUGAAUGAUAUGUGUGGUAUGAACAAUGAUUGUAUUAAUGAUAUGAAUAUGGCACAUUGAGUGAGAAUUACAAUUAUUUAACGAUAAUUUACAUGAUUCUUUCGGCUAUAGAAAUGUGAUGAAUAAUGGAUCAAAUAAAGCUAUAUAUUGUUGUUUAUGUAUUUGUAAAUGAGAAUGAAGUGAUAAGAAGUUUAAGAGGCAUACGAGCUUUGAAAUGAAUAAACUCGUAGAAAUCUUGUUUAAUCAUGUGCAUGAAUAUGAGGUAGAAUUGUGAAAUCAAAUGAGCUAUAUUAUGACUUGAUGCCAUUGUUUGUAAUGUGAUUAUUUAGUAAUAUGAGUUAUUAUAUUACGAGCUUACUAAGCUUUAUAGCUUACUUGGUGUUUUUUUUUAUGUUUUACAGUGUUUGGGACAUUCGCUCGGGUUGGAACUCGACGGAGAUUGCAUCACACUAUCCAGCUAAUAAUUUCAGUAUUUAUAUACUUUGUGACUUGGUUAUAUGGCAUGUAUUGUUGUAAGCUAAGUAUAUGAAAGUGACAUAUGAUUGAUACUUAUUUAGGUAUCUAAAUGCCUUAUUAUAUAGUCAUAAGGUUCGGCUAAUAGAAUUAUAAUGUAUAUGUAUUAUGAUAUGAUGUUUUAUAAUAGUAAAAUAUGUUUGGUUAGUUGGUUAA